This 253-nucleotide ribosomal RNA is filed under the name uncultured bacterium. RNAcentral's name for it is "partial 16S ribosomal RNA". It matches the Rfam family "Bacterial small subunit ribosomal RNA", at positions 524 to 776 of the family's 1533-position model. The record is from RNAcentral.
UACGUAGGGUCCGAGCGUUGUCCGGAAUUAUUGGGCGUAAAGGGCUCGUAGGCGGUCUGUUGCGUCGGGAGUGAAAACUUACAGCUUAACUGUGAGCGUGCUUCCGAUACGGGCAGACUAGAGGUAUGCAGGGGAGAACGGAAUUCCUGGUGUAGCGGUGAAAUGCGCAGAUAUCAGGAGGAACACCGGUGGCGAAGGCGGUUCUCUGGGCAUUACCUGACGCUGAGGAGCGAAAGUGUGGGGAGCGAACAGG